GUCUUUUAUUAAGUUUUAUUAAGCUGCUUCUUCAUUCGUCAGUUGAAUAUCGUGCGCAAGUUGUUCUUUUGGCGGCGUGUUAGGAUUUAGGGCUUGGAGUGUUUUGUGGCUGAUUUUGCUUGGGUUUACUUUGCGCAGUUUUUGGUCUAUUGAUUUCAGUUCUGCAAACUCUACAUGGCAGGUAAUCUGUAUGUCCAGGUCUUUUAUUAAGUUUUUUAUUUGCGUCCUUUGGCUGGCUGUCAGUGUGGAUGUGCGGCGGAAAAGAACGCGUCUGAGUUUUCGCUUUCUUUUGAUUAGGUUUAGGCAGUAUUGGCUAAGUCGGACAAACGGAUUGUUGGGGUUGUUCGGGCUUAGGGUGAUUUUUGGAAUUGCUUCACUGGAAUUUAAAGCUCUGUCUAUUGCAUAUGUUAAUGUUUGGACGUGACCAUCUAUGUCAGCUGAGUUUAUGUUUUGGGUGUUUGGAAUUUGUCUCAGGUUCUGAAGGAUGAUUGUGUUCCAGUGGAUGGGGUUUAUUUUUUUGAAGUUAUGUAAGGACUUUGGUUGGUUGUAUGUUAGUCGGUUGUGUCCUAGAUUUAUUUUGAUUGUUAUGCCGAAGUGGUCUGAAGGGAAGUCUUUGAUGGUUUUGCAGCCGAAUGUAUAUGUUUGGUUGUCUAUUGGUAUUGAGGAUGAUGCUAUGAAGUAGUCUAUUGAUGAGUCUCCCGUCGGAUUUGGGCGUGUGGGUUCUUCGGUUGGGAGUAGGUUUACGAAGGGUUGGUUUGCUAGCCAUUCCUCCAGCGUAUUUCCUGACGAGU
This 791-nucleotide long non-coding RNA is filed under the name Drosophila guanche. The record is from RNAcentral. Lineage: Eukaryota; Metazoa; Arthropoda; Insecta; Diptera; Drosophilidae.